GGGGGUGAAAAGGUUUCGACGGGAUUGGUGAGGGAUUGUUGGCGUGCCGAGGGACUCCGGAUUUCUCGUAAAAUAUCCGGUACAUUUUAUAAAUGGCGAAUAUGAUUAUGCCAUGGCUGCCUAGUAUAAUUACAUAGGCUACCCGUUCCCCCAGUUUUUCGCCUUUUAGGGCUGGACGGAGCGACGGUAUAAAAGGCUAAGCCGACCCGACGCCUUUGAGGUUGGACGAAAAUUAUAAAGGCUGGUCCUUUCUCUGGCCUGCCGCUUGGCAGGGGUGAGGACGAGAAAUUAUAGAGCGGCUACGCACGUAGAAGAUAAUCUGGCGCUUUUUUCGGACGGGGGUUCGAUUCCCCCCACCUCCAAUU
RNAcentral lists this transfer-messenger RNA (365 nucleotides) under bacterium. Its description in RNAcentral is "JAAERC01 sp024230695 Standard tmRNA". It matches the Rfam family "transfer-messenger RNA". Rfam says of the family: Bacterial tmRNA, also known as 10Sa RNA or SsrA, is named for its dual tRNA and mRNA-like properties. The record is from RNAcentral. RNAcentral also lists the same sequence under 1 other name.